Molecule: long non-coding RNA, 369 nt
Filed under: Setaria viridis
Lineage: Eukaryota; Viridiplantae; Streptophyta; Magnoliopsida; Poales; Poaceae
Description: long non-coding RNA (SVIR_LNC003098)
Source: RNAcentral
GGCAAGUACAGAUAGGGACCAGACGGAGAGGAGGGAGAAUGGGGCGGCGGCCUGGAGCGUCGGUCGGAUGAGCACAGGAGAAUGACGGAGGUUUGAGGGCAUUGGAACAGCAGAUUGGAAUGGAUAGAGCGGGGGUAAAAUCAUAAUUUUGCUAUCCAGUAGGUGCUGGAAGCUCCUCCAUGCCAGAUUCUAGGAUUUUGAGAAUCCGGGAAUGUAAAUUCUGGAAUCCUCCCCAAAAUCCAAUCUGUUUGGGAGCUAUCCAGAUUAUAGAUUCUAGAUUCUUAAAAUCUUGGCUGAUCCAAAUGGUUCCUAAGCUAUUGGUUUGAUUUCCUGCUGGAGAAAAUACAAUGUGGUUGCAAAGACGAAAAC